This is a non-coding RNA of Mycena leptocephala, 85 nucleotides long. The record is from the annotation of a GenBank genome assembly. Lineage: Eukaryota; Fungi; Basidiomycota; Agaricomycetes; Agaricales; Mycenaceae.
GGUCUGGUGGUGUAGUGGUAACACCUCCCUCUUUGUUAACUUUAUCAGUAGUGGGAUGUCCCUUGUUCGAAUCAAGGCCAGGCCA